GUGGGGAAUUUUGGACAAUGGGCGCAAGCCUGAUCCAGCCAUGCCGCGUGCGGGAAGAAGGCCUUCGGGUUGUAAACCGCUUUUGUCAGGGAAGAAAAGCUCUGGGCUAAUACCCCGGGGUCAUGACGGUACCUGAAGAAUAAGCACCGGCUAACUACGUGCCAGCAGCCGCGGUAAUACGUAGGGUGCAAGCGUUAAUCGGAAUUACUGGGCGUAAAGCGUGCGCAGGCGGUGAUGCAAGACAGAUGUGAAAUCCCCGGGCUCAACCUGGGAACUGCAUUUGUGACUGCAUCGCUGGAGUGCGGCAGAGGGGGAUGGAAUUCCGCGUGUAGCAGUGAAAUGCGUAGAUAUGCGGAGGAACACCGAUGGCGAAGGCAAUCCCCUGGGCCUGCACUGACGCUCAUGCACGAAAGCGUGGGGAGCAAACAGGAUUAGAAACCCUAGUAGUCC
Molecule: ribosomal RNA, 450 nt
Filed under: uncultured bacterium
Lineage: Bacteria
Description: bacterial SSU rRNA
Rfam family: Bacterial small subunit ribosomal RNA
Source: RNAcentral